This is a long non-coding RNA of Sabethes cyaneus, 1783 nucleotides long. RefSeq lists it as uncharacterized. The record is from RefSeq and is a predicted model, not a curated record. Lineage: Eukaryota; Metazoa; Arthropoda; Insecta; Diptera; Culicidae. The transcript has 2 exons.
GUAUACGUGAAAACUAUUUUGCAGAAUAAGCCUUCAGUUACCGCUUCCGUUUCAUACUCAGCGACAGUCGCUAUGGUAGUUUAAAGCAAUGCAGCGGUUCAUUCAUUUGCAUUUCUAACUCACCGCGUUCAAGUGCAUUCCGCCUUGGCAGUUCAGCGAUAGUAAAUGUUGGUCGCGCAACUAAUGAACUUACUCCGGUCGGUCCCUCCACAGGUGAUACAUAUAUCAAGCGAAAUAGCUUUUUUUUGUGUGAGCCGGAAAGGCCGGAAAGUAGCGUAAAUGUUUGUUGCCGUGCAGGCUUAAGUACCAAAACGUGUCGUCUUUGUGAAUGGCCGUGUUAUUUAUGCAGGUGAAAAGUAUUUAAACAACGUAUUGUUUUUAUUGCCCGUUCGAAUAUGGGUCUUUCUCGCAAUUGUACGGAAGGGAUCAUCUUCGUGGCAGCAACUGCAGAACUGGCUGUUUCUAAAAUAUUUAAUUUGCAUUGUAACAUUUAAUUACUAUUGGAAACACAAACGUUUGUGUAUUUAAUACUUACGAAACGUACUAAACCGGAGAUGGCCAGUGAUUACUUGCCACUUGCCACUUGCGAUGCGUAGAAAUCUCACAACAAAAAUAGGGCCGAAAGCAAAACAAAACACAAACUGCGUAUCAAGAGCAACAUUUCAAUAGGACCCAAGUGCAAAAUAUAAAAAAACUGGUUUUUUGGUUAUAUUUAAAGCUUUUUUAAGUAUCUAUAGUAAAUACAAAACAUCAUAGUGAUUUAAAAACUAUAUAGGUCUUAAAAAGCAAAUUUGAAAAAGCCUUAUGUGAAAACUGGCAACAAAGUUUUCAUUUUGUGCUUCGGCUUCGGCAAGUGGCAAGUGGCAAGUAAUCACUGGCCAUCUCCGGUUUAGUACGUUUCAAACAGCCAGUUCUGCAGUUGCUGCCACGAAGAUGAUCCCUUCCGUACAAUUGCGAGAAAGACCCAUAUUCGAACGGGCAAUAAAAACAAUACGUUGUUUAAAUACUUUUCACCUGCAUAAAUAACACGGCCAUUCACAAAGACGACACGUUUUGGUACUUAAGCCUGCACGGCAACAAACAUUUACGCUACUUUCCGGCCUUUCCGGCUCACACAAAAAAAAGCUAUUUCGCUUGAUAUAUGUAUCACCUGUGGAGGGACCGACCGGAGUAAGUUCAUUAGUUGCGCGACCAACAUUUACUAUCGCUGAACUGCCAAGGCGGAAUGCACUUGAACGCGGUGAGUUAGAAAUGCAAAUGAAUGAACCGCUGCAUUGCUUUAAACUACCAUAGCGACUGUCGCUGAGUAUGAAACGGAAGCGGUAACUGAAGGCUUAUUCUGCAAAAUAGUUUUCACGUAUACAGAAAAAUAUCCACACACUAUCACCUUUGCUAGAAAUUAAAGAUCCAGAAAAUUUUCGAGAUGAUUAUAAAGAGGACACAUCAAACAUCGGUGGAUGUCGUUCAUGACGUGGAAUCUUAAUUUGAGCUAGAAGAUUGCUGCUAAUAGUCGUAAACUAACUGGAAAGGAAAUUGUUAUUGUAUGAUAAUACGCUGACCGGGUCGGAUUUUAAGUUCCUGAUAGACCCGGUGAACUGAUUAAAAAUGUACGGAUAGAUGAUUCGCUUUUGCAGCAUAUUGAGGCUCUGGAAAAUCCGAUCGAAUGACGGCGAUGAAAAAUAUGUGUCGAAAGCUUUUGAUUGGCGUUGAUGAAAGAACAAUGAUUUAGAAAAUUGUCAAUUUCUCAAUAAGAAUGCCAAAAUAAACAUUUUUUCUUGAAGAA